UACGUAGGCAGCGAGCGUUGUUCGGAGUUACUGGGCGUAAAGCGUGCGUAGGCGGUGGUCCAAGUCUGGUGUGAAAUCUCCCGGCUUAACUGGGAGGGUGCGCCGGAAACUGGGCUGCUGGAGUGCGGGAGAGGUAAGCGGAAUUCCCGGUGUAGCGGUGAAAUGCGUAGAUAUCGGGAGGACCCCCUGCGGUGUGGCCGGCUUACUGGACCGCCACUGACGCUGAGGCACGAAAGCGUGGGUAGCAAACAGG
This 253-nucleotide ribosomal RNA is filed under the name uncultured bacterium. RNAcentral describes it as "partial 16S ribosomal RNA". It matches the Rfam family "Bacterial small subunit ribosomal RNA", at positions 524 to 776 of the family's 1533-position model. The record is from RNAcentral.